GCUUAACCGAAGAAGUGCAUCGGAAACUGGGAGACUUGAGUGCAGAAGAGGACAGUGGAACUCCAUGGGUAGCGGUGGAAUGCGUAGAUAUAUGGAAGAACACCAGUGGCGAAGGCGGCUGUCUAGUCUGUAACUGACGCUGAGGCUCGAAAGCAUGGGUAGCGAACAGGAUUAGAUACCCUGGUAGUCCAUGCCGUAAACGAUGAGUGCUAAGUGUUGGAGGGUUUCCGCCCUUCAGUGCUGCAGCUAACGCAUUAAGCACUCCGCCUGGGGAGUACGACCGCAAGGUUGAAACUCAAAGGAAUUGACGGGGGCCCGCACAAGCGGUGGAGCAUGUGGUUUAAUUCGAAGCUACGCGAAGAACCUUACCAGGUCUUGACAUCUUCUGCCAAUCUAAGAGAUUAGACGUUCCCUUCGGGGACAGAAUGACAGGUGGUGCAUGGUUGUCGUCAGCUCGUGUCGUGAGAUGUUGGGUUAAGUCCCGCAACGAGCGCAACCCUUAUUAUCAGUUGCCAGCAUUCAGUUGGGCACUCUGGUGAGACUGCCGGUGACAAACCGGAGGAAGGUGGGGAUGACGUCAAAUCAUCAUGCCCCUUAUGACCUGGGCUACACACGUGCUACAAUGGACGGUACAACG
This 637-nucleotide ribosomal RNA is filed under the name uncultured bacterium. RNAcentral describes it as "bacterial SSU rRNA". It matches the Rfam family "Bacterial small subunit ribosomal RNA", at positions 607 to 1244 of the family's 1533-position model. The record is from RNAcentral.